Molecule: ribosomal RNA, 253 nt
Filed under: uncultured bacterium
Lineage: Bacteria
Description: partial 16S ribosomal RNA
Rfam family: Bacterial small subunit ribosomal RNA
Source: RNAcentral
UACGUAGGGGGCGAGCGUUAUCCGGAUUCACUGGGUGUAAAGGGAGCGUAGACGGCCAUGCAAGCCAGGGGUGAAAGCCCGGGGCCCAACCCCGGGACUGCCCUUGGAACUGCAUGGCUGGAGUGCGGGAGGGGCAGGCGGAAUUCCUGGUGUAGCGGUGAUAUGCGUAGAUAUCAGGAGGAACACCGGCGGCGAAGGCGGCCUGCUGGACCGCGACUGACGUUGAGGCUCGAAAGCGUGGGGAGCGAACAGG